CAGGCUUAACACAUGCAAGUCGAGGGGCAGCAUGGUCUUAGCUUGCUAAGGCCGAUGGCGACCGGCGCACGGGUGAGUAACACGUAUCCAACCUGCCGUCUACUCUUGGACAGCCUUCUGAAAGGAAGAUUAAUACAAGAUGGCAUCAUGAGUCCACAUGUUCACAUGAUUAAAGGUAUUCCGGUAGACGAUGGGGAUGCGUUCCAUUAGAUAGUAGGCGGGGUAACGGCCCACCUAGUCUUCGAUGGAUAGGGGUUCUGAGAGGAAGGUCCCCCACAUUGGAACUGAGACACGGUCCAAACUCCUACGGGAGGCAGCAGUGAGGAAUAUUGGUCAAUGGGCGAGAGCCUGAACCAGCCAAGUAGCGUGAAGGAUGACUGCCCUAUGGGUUGUAAACUUCUUUUAUAAAGGAAUAAAGUCGGGUAUGCAUACCCGUUUGCAUGUACUUUAUGAAUAAGGAUCGGCUAACUCCGUGCCAGCAGCCGCGGUAAUACGGAGGAUCCGAGCGUUAUCCGGAUUUAUUGGGUUUAAAGGGAGCGUAGAUGGAUGUUUAAGUCAGUUGUGAAAGUUUGCGGCUCAACCGUAAAAUUGCAGUUGAUACUGGAUAUCUUGAGUGCAGUUGAGGCAGGCGGAAUUCGUGGUGUAGCGGUGAAAUGCUUAGAUAUCACGAAGAACUCCGAUUGCGAAGGCAGCCUGCUAAGCUGCAACUGACAUUGAGGCUCGAAAGUGUGGGUAUCAAACAGGAUUAGAUACCCUGGUAGUCCACACGGUAAACGAUGAAUACUCGCUGUUUGCGAUAUACGGCAAGCGGCCAAGCGAAAGCGUUAAGUAUUCCACCUGGGGAGUACGCCGGCAACGGUGAAACUCAAAGGAAUUGACGGGGGCCCGCACAAGCGGAGGAACAUGUGGUUUAAUUCGAUGAUACGCGAGGAACCUUACCCGGGCUUAAAUUGCAGAUGAAUUACGGUGAAAGCCGUAAGCCGCAAGGCAUCUGUGAAGGUGCUGCAUGGUUGUCGUCAGCUCGUGCCGUGAGGUGUCGGCUUAAGUGCCAUAACGAGCGCAACCCUUGUUGUCAGUUACUAACAGGUUCCGCUGAGGACUCUGACAAGACUGCCAUCGUAAGAUGUGAGAAAGGUGGGGAUGACGUCAAAUCAGCACGGCCCUUACGUCCGGGGCUACACACGUGUUACAAUGGGGGGUACAGAGGGCCGCUACCACGCGAGUGGAUGCCAAUCCCCAAAACCUCUCUCAGUUCGGACUGGAGUCUGCAACCCGACUCCACGAAGCUGGAUUCGCUAGUAAUCGCGCAUCAGCCACGGCGCGGUGAAUACGUUCCCGGGCCUUGUACACACCGCCCGUCAAGCCAUGGGAGCCGGGGGUACCUGAAGUGCGUAACCGCGAGGAGCGCCCUAGGGUAAAACUGGUGACUGGGGCUAAGUCGU
RNAcentral lists this ribosomal RNA (1442 nucleotides) under uncultured organism. RNAcentral describes it as "16S ribosomal RNA". It matches the Rfam family "Bacterial small subunit ribosomal RNA". The record is from RNAcentral.